CAGUAGCCGCGGGAAUACGAAGGGGGCUAGCGUUGUUCGGAAUUACUGGGCGUAGAGGGCGCGUAGGCGGCCAUUCAAGUUAGAUGUGAAAGCCCUGGGCUCAACCUAGGAAUUGCAUUUGAUACUGUUUGGCUUGAGUUCGGGAGAGGUGAGUGGAAUUCCCAGUGUAGAGGUGAAAUUCGUAGAUAUUGAGAAGAACACCAGUGGCGAAGGCGGCUCACUGGACCGACACUGACGCUGAGGCGCGAAAGCGUGGGGAGCAAACAGGAUUAGAUACCCCAGUAGUCCCUGUCUCUUAUAC
Molecule: ribosomal RNA, 301 nt
Filed under: uncultured bacterium
Lineage: Bacteria
Description: partial 16S ribosomal RNA
Rfam family: Bacterial small subunit ribosomal RNA
Source: RNAcentral